Gossypium arboreum is the source of this 1116-nucleotide long non-coding RNA. RefSeq lists it as uncharacterized. The transcript has 5 exons. The record is from RefSeq and is a predicted model, not a curated record. NCBI's taxonomy places the organism in Eukaryota, Viridiplantae, Streptophyta, Magnoliopsida, Malvales, Malvaceae.
AGUUUGAUUUCCUUCCGUUGCAAAUUGGCAAUUUUUGUUAUUUUUGCUCCCACUCCCUUAGUUUUGUGCCACCUAGCCUAGUAAACCCUACGUAUAGAUACUAUUUUCUCAUUAUUUUUCAGCUUUUCUUCUAUUCAUCUUCUAUUCUUGUUGUUACUCCAAUCUCUUACUUCUUUCUUCUAAAAUUUUUCUUCUUUCUUUCCUUUUUUUCGUCUUAGAACACAGUGAUUUCACCAUAGUUGUGUCACCCCUCUGUCUAAUAUUUUGCUAUUAUUUUUUCCAGCCACUUUGCUGAUUGUUUUAACCCUUUUGCUUCCCUAGAACUCUCCUUUAUGCUGCCCUAUUAGCCUCCAUUUGUUGUCCAUUGUCGCCCCCUUUCCUCCAUUCGUGGUGGUGUCGGUUAGUUCUCUUUUCCUCUCCCUUUUCUGUCAAUUUUUUCUACUAUCUUUCCAGCCAAUAAACUAUUGUUCCAGUCCUAAAAGGUGUUCCCUUUUUAUCCAAAGAUCUCUUUUUGUCCCAACCAAGCCAUCCCUUUUCUACUGCCGCUUGUGAUGUUGUCGCCCCUUGGAAAACCAUUGUUUUGGGCUACUAAUUUCUUUUCAGUUGUUUCCCCUUAUAGCAGUAAGUUUUUUUUUUUCUGCUUUAUUUAUAUCUAUCUGAAACAUUCUUAAUCAAUGGGGUAUCCUAAUACAUUCAUUCAACAUCUCAGAUCUGGUUAUUGGGUAGUGUACUGAUUUGAACGUACCAGCUCAGAAGUGAAGUUGAAAUUUCGUUCGCACCCUCGUUCCACAUAAAGUCAGUGUACGUUAAGGUUUAAGUGUGGAAGCACGAACUGUACGGAUCAGUGCUGCGGACUUGUGAGUUAAGGUAAUGAACGACAUGAGGAUCAGACCUGGCAUGCGAACGUUUCAUGGGCCAUUUUGAUAGUAGAAGAAGAUUCAGUUGAAGGGGACUACACCAGAGUUACGCUUGCGAGUGAGCCACUUGUUUAUUUUUGUAUCAUGCAUAGCUAUUCUGGCAAGUGGUUUAUAGAUUUUUUUUCUAUUCAACAUAUGUAAUUAUCCCUAUCGUUUACACUGUCUCUAUUUAGAAAAGAAUUUCCCCUUUUCCCUAAAA